UCCGGUGGGCAUUUGCUCAGCAGGGUGUC
Molecule: non-coding RNA, 29 nt
Filed under: Homo sapiens (human)
Lineage: Eukaryota; Metazoa; Chordata; Mammalia; Primates; Hominidae
Source: RNAcentral